This 528-nucleotide ribosomal RNA is filed under the name Sphingonotus ningsianus. RNAcentral's name for it is "16S ribosomal RNA". It matches the Rfam family "Archaeal large subunit ribosomal RNA", at positions 1903 to 2681 of the family's 2987-position model. Lineage: Eukaryota; Metazoa; Arthropoda; Insecta; Orthoptera; Acrididae. The record is from RNAcentral.
AAACAUGUCUUCUUGAUAAUAUUUUGAAGUCUGACCUGCUCACUGAAUAAUUUUAAAGAGCCGCGGUAUUUUGACCGUGCAAAGGUAGCAUAAUCAUUAGUUUCUUAAUUAGAGGCUUGAAUGAAUGGUUUGACGAGAAAUUAACUGUCUCUUAAUAAAUUUUAGAAUUUAACCUUUAAGUUAAAAGGCUUAAAUAUUUCUUUAGGACGAGAAGACCCUAUAGAGCUUGAUAUUUAUGAAUUUUGUAUGUUUUUAGUUUAUCUUUCUAUAUAGAUUUUUUAAUAUUUGGUUGGGGUGACAUGAAGAAUAAAUAAACUCUUCAUUAUUACAUCAUUGAUUUAUGUUUAUUUGAUCCAUAAUUUAUGAUCAAAAGAUUAAGUUACCUUAGGGAUAACAGCGUAAUCAUUUUUGAGAGUUCAUAUCGACAAAGUGGGUUGCGACCUCGAUGUUGGAUUAAGAUUAAUUUUAGGUGUAGUAGCUUAAUAAUUAGGUCUGUUCGACCUUUAAAUUCUUACGUGAUCUGAGUUC